CCCUCCUCCACUGCUUUGCCUCUAAAGCGCCAGACGCGCUCUCUCUGCCGCCGCACUUUCCCUCUCCGCACCCGCCACAACUCGGUAUCCGGCCUCGAUCCUCCCGCUGCCGCCCACCCGUGCCAUGGAUGCCAAGGUUGUCAUCGUGCUGGCCCUCGUGCUGACUGCGCUCUGCCUCAGCGACGGAAAACCGGUCAGCCUGAGCUACAGAUGUCCUUGCCGAUUCUUCGAGAGCCACGUUGCCAGGGCCAACAUCAAGCAUCUCAAAAUCCUCAACACUCCAAACUGUGCCCUUCAGAUUGUGGCAAGGCUGAAGAAUAACAACAGACAAGUGUGCAUUGACCCAAAAUUGAAGUGGAUUCAGGAAUAUCUGGAGAAAGCUUUAAACAAGAGGUUCAAGAUGUGAGAGGCGCAGGUUGGGUCAGACGCCUGAGGAAGCCUUACAGUAGGAAGCUGAGUCUGAAACAGUGUUAAGAAGGGCCCCCAACAGUUCCCUUAUGCAGCCUGGGCGGGGCUGAAUGCAUUUCCCAGGGCUUUGUUUUGCACAGUUUGCCUUACUUUCACUGUUUGAUUAUGUAGCAAAAUAUAUUCUGUUUAUUUUCAUUUAGCUCGAUUAUCUAAUGUCACUGGUGGCAGAUAGGAACUUAGACAAAACCAUUAUAAUUUUACAUUAUAAUAUGUUUUCCAUGGAGCCCCUGGUCUGACUACGGGUUCCUGAAUUUUAUAUUCCUGAACUGCACAGGCUGGGACCCCAGGCUGAGGGAGCCUUCCCUACAUUAUCAUGUUCUGGGACCGACAGCCACUAGCAGAUAUCAGGACUAGUCAGCAUGGGCAAACCCUAGUGAAGGCAGCCACAAGGGGUGAUGGAGGGUUAGGUUCCAGAGGGCCAGGCAGGAGGCCCACCCUUCCUCUAAGUGAGCAUCACAGGGCUUCCCUGAGCUAAGGCAGGCAGGAGUGUGAGGCCAGGAUAGGGCAAGAUGCACCCUUCAUCCCGAGCUCUCCUCUACAUCUCAUCACGUUCUUCUCAUCAUUCUUUCUCUCAUCCAUCAUCAUGUGUAUCCAAGACUGUCUCCAUGACCCUGGAAAAGAACUCUCAAGAUGAAAGCUUUAAUUUAAACUGAGCACCAAGAAACAAAUCAAAACAUAUUGUGUUACCAGGUCCUGGAAAUGCUGUGCACAUCUGUGUCGUUUGGAAUAUUAUCUGUUGUCCAAUUCUCUGUUUUUGUUCAAAGCUAAUGUCCUCUGUGCUGUAUUGUGGGUUCCACACAUGCAGAGGCCGAGAGCGAGGAGAUGCCCCUCAGGGUCUCUGACCAGGCCCCUGAUUAGGGCUGUGAUAUUUUUGAGUGGAUGACUUUGUGUUCCCCACUGAUCACAGAGCCAUGGUGGAUCAACAGAGCUCAAGGGAAUUCAGGUUGCAGUAGUACUGACCUCUGAGGACACUGACCCUCAAUGUUUCCAUUGAUGUUGAUACCUCAGAACUAUAGAGUGCUUUAACUUUGUUGUGUCAAGCCCAGCAUUUUUCUGGGAAUGACAGGAAUAACAAGAAAAAAUUCUCAACUUUUUUUGGUUUGGAAAACCUGAUCCAUAAAAUAUUCAAUACUGAGUAUUUCUUCCUGAUUAAAAUCUAACCUCAUUUUUUUUUUACCAUUUGGCAAUCCCUCAUCUUUUGCCUUGCACAGUGGACCCUGGACCUUCUCUGCUACUGCUGUUACCUGUGCUUCCAGGACAUCCAGCAAGGCGUUCCUCUUAGAAAAUGAUGGAGCAUUAUUAAAGUUGGUUAAGAACCCUGAUGUUUGGGGCAUUUCCCUUUAAUGAGGGCAUUUUUUAGAAUUACAUUAAACGGCUUAAAAUUUUUGCUUUUUAAAAAGGUAGGCACUUGAGGGUUUUUUGCAUUUUUGCUUAUUUGUUUGCUAAUUUAUCAUUUGGUCUCACUAAUAUUUUUCCCCUUUGAUUAAAGAUCCCAGUAAAAUUUUUAUAAUUAAGAAAAUAGAAAAAAAAGGAUAAAAUAAGGAAAUAUAUCAAUUGACAAGACACUGCAAAUAACAUGCAGAAAGUAUAGUAUAGUAAAUUUAUCUUGAAUUGUAGGUGUCUUUAUAUUUAAUAAUCUUUGGGUUAUUAGUAACGUGUUAGGCAUUUCUAUAAAUAUUUCUUAAAAUUUGAUCUUUAUGGUAGAAGGCCAAUUCAUCAACCAAAAAUUCAUGUCCUCUAAACAGCUAUGUUAUAUUGAAAAAAAUAGAGUAUCGGGGACCUUUAUUAGUUAUAAGGGAUACAGAACCUUCUUUUAAAAUUAACCUGUCUCUAUAGGGCUCCUGAAUUAUACAUGAAAUUAUUGAAUUUUCAGUGGUAGGGUCAUUUUCCAGGUAAUCUAAGAUAUUUUAAAAUCUCAUGAAAAAUUUGGAAGCAUCUUUUUCUAGAAUCCAUGAACCAGAACCAUUAAAUCUGUUACUCCAAGGAAAUAAAUAUGCCCCUGAAUCCUGAUUACAGUUAAAGAAUCAUUUCUGUUUCUCCCCUAUAGGAGAAAAAAAUAGGUAAGAGUAGAAACUGCAAGAAAAAUUAUUUGUGUAACAAUUUCUCUACUUUCAAUCUGCUUCUAAAAGGAGACUUCCUAUCUAAAGCAAAUAUGCAUUUAAAUAGUUCAUUUGCAAAGGAAAAGGCUCUCCCUCUUGCUUUCAAAAUACAGGUCAAGUGCAUUAGGUGAUUAAGGGUCACCCAGCUGUUUCUCCAGGUCCAGAGCUGCCUCUACCUGAGCUUCUCUUGGGCUUGUUGUAACCUCCAAGGUGGUCCUCCAUUGCCAGCCUCUGCAUCUCCGGGAGAGGGGCGACUGUAGGGACUGGGGCUCACAAACAUGCUGUUUGUUGGAAUCCGAAUCUCUGCCAUGUGUUGUUUGCACUGUUCUUUGUCCCACUUCUGCCAGGUGCUGAGACCCCAGCGAGGAGGCUCAGGAGAGGCUCUCUGCUUGUCUGAGCAGAAGGCCUGCAUAGCAAAAGGCUACAGUGCUCCCUGUGUGAAGUCCAGAGAGUUUCUAAGCCUUUCUAUUGGAUCAGAUUUCAUCUUCCUUUUCUGACUACGGUCUGAUAUAAUCACCAUAGGCUCCCUCACUGGGUCUUCAUCAGCUUUCCCGGGUGUCACACCCUUUUGCAGCUGUGGAGUCCUGAUCCCUCUAUACAUCUCCCCUGAACCAUGCUGAGGGAACCCUAUUCUUGGGAAAUGCUCCCUAGAAAUAUCCACAUCCGCUCAACAGACCACUGACAUAGCCAAGUUAAAAAAAGAAAAUAACACAGAAAACUUGUUAUUCUGAAAACUCGCUGGACUCUCAGUCUCUGAGCAGUGAUGGAUUCAGUGUUAAAUGUGAUGAAUACUGUAUUUUGUAUUGUUUGAAUUGCAUCUCCCAGAUAAUGUGAAAAUGGUCCAGGAGAAGGCAGCUUCCUGUAUGCAGUCUGCUUUUUUUAAAAAAAUAGUAACAUCUCAUUUUGAGAAACAAUUUCUACUUUGAAGUCAUAUCAAUGAAAAGAUGUAUAUGCACUUAUAAUUGUCCUAAUAAAGACAUGUAU
RNA transcript from Pteropus alecto (black flying fox), 3551 nucleotides. It is a transcript of the gene named C-X-C motif chemokine ligand 12, with no coding region annotated. The transcript has 5 exons. The record is from RefSeq and is a predicted model, not a curated record. NCBI's taxonomy places the organism in Eukaryota, Metazoa, Chordata, Mammalia, Chiroptera, Pteropodidae.